CUGGGGGCAGGGCAGGAGAUGUGUCAGAGAGGUGCUGGUGGGAUAACUCCAAACAUGUAGAGUCUUGUAAGCCACUGAGAGGACUUUGGAUUUUGCUCUUUCUGAGAUAGGAAGCCACUGGCAGGCUCUGAGCAGAGUGACAUACCAGCCUUGGAUUAUAAGCAGGGUCCCUGUUUUUGUUCUGGUGAUACAAGACUGUAGGAGCAGAAGUAGAAGCAGUUAGGAGACCAGUGCAAUAAUCCAGGCAAGAGAUGAUGGUGGCUUGGUCCAGGGUGAUGAUAGGGAGAUGGUGAAAUACGUUAAUAGUCUUAAUCACUCAUAAAUAUGACAUUUCAGAACGUGCUGGGAGCAGCGCAGACAGUGUGUAGGGAGCCAUCCAGAGGCCCCACCCACCUGGGAAGCCAGGGAAAGCUUCCAGGGGGAGGGGGCGGUUCUGUGGGCUGCAGUCCGAGGGGGAAAAGCAAACGUGUAGGCAGCAGGAGUUGAGAGAUGGGAUCCAGACAAGGGCCUUCAGAUAUAUAAAUAUCCCUUUCUGAGACUGACGGG
This 546-nucleotide long non-coding RNA is filed under the name Homo sapiens (human). RNAcentral's name for it is "non-protein coding lnc-KCTD12-2:2". The record is from RNAcentral. Lineage: Eukaryota; Metazoa; Chordata; Mammalia; Primates; Hominidae.